This 253-nucleotide ribosomal RNA is filed under the name uncultured bacterium. RNAcentral describes it as "partial 16S ribosomal RNA". It matches the Rfam family "Bacterial small subunit ribosomal RNA", at positions 524 to 776 of the family's 1533-position model. The record is from RNAcentral.
UACGCAGGCAGCGAGCGUUGUUCGGAAUUACUGGGCGUAAAGAGUGUGUAGGCGGUGCUCUAAGUUCGGUGUGAAAUCUCCUGGCUCAACUGGGAGGGUGCGCCGGAAACUGGAGUGCUUGAGCGUGGGAGAGGAAAGCGGAAUUCCUGGUGUAGCGGUGAAAUGCGUAGAUAUGACAUAGAACGCCAAUUGCGUAGGCAGCUUACUACACGAUCAUUGACGCUGAGGCACGAAAGCGUGGGGAGCAAACAGG